This 252-nucleotide ribosomal RNA is filed under the name uncultured bacterium. Its description in RNAcentral is "partial 16S ribosomal RNA". It matches the Rfam family "Bacterial small subunit ribosomal RNA", at positions 524 to 776 of the family's 1533-position model. The record is from RNAcentral.
UACGGAGGGUGCAAGCGUUGCUCGGAAUUAUUGGGCGUAAGGGUAGGUAGGUGGUCUCAUUUGUCUGGGGUGAAAGCCUUGAGCUUAACUCAAGAAGUGCCCCAGAAACGGUGAGACUAGAGUCCUGGAGAGGGUCGUGGAAUUCCCGGUGUAGCGGUGAAAUGCGUAGAGAUCGGGAGGAACACCAGAGGCGAAGGCGGCGACCUGGACAGGUACUGACACUCAACUACGAAAGCGUGGGGAGCAAACAGG